This 571-nucleotide ribosomal RNA is filed under the name uncultured archaeon. RNAcentral describes it as "bacterial SSU rRNA". It matches the Rfam family "Archaeal small subunit ribosomal RNA", at positions 314 to 879 of the family's 1478-position model. The record is from RNAcentral.
CGAUUCGCCCUUGGGGGUGCCCCCCGAUCGAUUUCUUUUUCAUGCUUGAAACCGUGAUCAGGGGGACACCGAAUGUCACCGUCUUAUGGUGGCUGUCCAAAUGUGUAAAAUACAUCCUGUUACCAAGGGCCGGGCAAUACCGGUGUCCAGACCGCCGCGGUAAUCACCGGCGGCCCGAGUGGUGAUCUUGAUUAUUGGGUCUAAAAGGUCCGUAUCCGGUUUGGUCAUUCCUCCGGGAAAUCUGAUAGGUCAACUAUGAUGUUUUCCGGGGAUACUGCCUAACUUGGAACCGGGAGAGGUAAGAGGUACUACAGGGGUACGAGUGAAAUCUUGUAAUCCCUGUGGAACCACCUGAGGAGAAGGCUUCUUACCAAAACAGGUUCUGCGGUGAGGGACCAAAGCUGGGGGUACGAACGGUAUUAUAUACCCGGGUAGUCCCAGCCGUAUACCAUGCUCGCUAGGUGUCACACAUGGUACAACCGUGUCUGGAUGCCGCAUGGAAGCCAUGAAUCGAACCACCUGUGAAGUACUGUCGCAUGGCUGAAACUUAAAGGAAUUGGCGGGGGAGCAC